AUGGGGGCAACCCUGACCGAGCAACGCCGCGUGAGUGAAGAAGGUUUUCGGAUCGUAAAGCUCUGUUGUAAGUCAAGAACGAGUGUGAGAGUGGAAAGUUCACACUGUGACGGUAGCUUACCAGAAAGGGACGGCUAACUACGUGCCAGCAGCCGCGGUAAUACGUAGGUCCCGAGCGUUGUCCGGAUUUAUUGGGCGUAAAGCGAGCGCAGGCGGUUUGAUAAGUCUGAAGUUAAAGGCUGUGGCUCAACCAUAGUUCGCUUUGGAAACUGUCAAACUUGAGUGCAGAAGGGGAGAGUGGAAUUCCAUGUGUAGCGGUGAAAUGCGUAGAUAUAUGGAGGAACACCGGUGGCGAAAGCGGCUCUCUGGUCUGUAACUGACGCUGAGGCUCGAAAGCGUGGGGAGCGAACAGGAUUAGAUACCCUGGUAGUCCACGCCGUAAACGAUGAGUGCUAGGUGUUGGAUCCUUUCCGGGAUUCAGUGCCGCAGCUAACGCAUUAAGCACUCCGCCUGGGGAGUACGACCGCAAGGUUGAAACUCAAAGGAAUUGACGGGGGCCCGCACAAGCGGUGGAGCAUGUGGUUUAAUUCGCAGCAACGCGAAGAACCUUACCAGGUCUUGACAUCCCGAUGCUAUUUCUAGAGAUAGAAAGUUACUUCGGUA
RNAcentral lists this ribosomal RNA (663 nucleotides) under Streptococcus salivarius. RNAcentral's name for it is "bacterial SSU rRNA". It matches the Rfam family "Bacterial small subunit ribosomal RNA", at positions 371 to 1025 of the family's 1533-position model. Lineage: Bacteria; Bacillati; Bacillota; Bacilli; Lactobacillales; Streptococcaceae. The record is from RNAcentral.